Molecule: small nuclear RNA, 110 nt
Organism: Styela clava
Lineage: Eukaryota; Metazoa; Chordata; Ascidiacea; Stolidobranchia; Styelidae
Source: RefSeq, a predicted model, not a curated record
GUUCUACCUGCGAGUGUACAUAUGAUGAAAAAAUUGGAACGAUACAGAGCAGAUUAGAAUGGCCCCUGCGCAAGGAUGACACGCACAAUCGUGAAUCGUUGCUCUAUUUA